UCUCGUGGGCUCGGAGAUGUGUAUAAGAGACAGGUACCAAACCCAACCAAACUCCGAAUGCCGGUAACUUUGAGUGCGGGAGUCAGACUGUGGGCGAUAAGGUCCAUGGUCAAAAGGGAAAGAACCCAGACCGCCAGCUAAGGUCCCUAAAAUGCACUAAGUGGAAAAGGAUGUGGAGUUGCAGAGACAUCCAGGAGGUUGGCUUAGAAGCAGCCAUCCUUUAAAGAAAGCGUAAUAGCUCACUGGUCUAGUGGCUCUGCGCCGAAAAUGUAACGGGGCUCAAGUGCAUUACCGAAGCUGCGGGUUGUGCACUUCUUCGGAAGUGAACAGCGGUAGGGGAGCAUUCCAGAGGCCUGUGAAGCCAGACCGUGAGGACUGGUGGAGGUAAUGGAAGUGACUAUGCUGACAUGAGUAGCGAUAAUGCCGGUGAGAAACCGGCACGCCGAAAGCCUAAGGUUUCCUGGGGAAGGGUAAUCCGCCCAGGGUAAGUCGGCCCCUAAGCCGAGGCCGAAAGGCGUAGGUGAUGGGAAACGGGUUAAUAUUCUCGUACCACCAUUUUACCGUUUGAGUGAUGGGGGGACGCAGAAGGGUAGGCCAUUCCCGUGAUGGAAUACGGGAUUCAAGCCUGUAGGUGGAGAGAGCAGGCAAAUCCGCUCUUUUAUCAAACACCGAGAGGUGACGAGGAGAGACUUCGUCUCAUAAACUGGUUGAUCCCAUGCUGCCAAGAAAAGCCUCUAGCGAGGUGAAAUGGUGACCGUACCGCAAACCGACACAGGUAGGUGGGGUGAGUAUCCCAAGGCGCUCGAGAGAACUCUGGUUAAGGAACUCGGCAAAUUGACACCGUAACUUCGGGAGAAGGUGUGCCCUCAUUAGGUGAAAAAACUAGCUUUUGGAGCCGAAGGGGGUUGCAGAGAAAUGGGGGUGGCGACUGUUUACUAAAAACAUAGGACUCUGCUAAGUCGUAAGACGAUGUAUAGGGUCUGACGCCUGCCCGGUGCUGGAAGGUUAAGGGGAUCCGUUAUUCAUCUUCGGAUGGAGAAGCGUUGAACCGAAGCCCCAGUAAACGGCGGCCGUAACUAUAACGGUCCUAAGGUAGCGAAAUUCCUUGUCGGGUAAGUUCCGACCUGCACGAAUGGCGUAACGACUUCCCCACUGUCUCGACCAGGGACUCGGUGAAAUUGAAUUCGCGGUGAAGAUGCCGUGUACCCGCGGAAAGACGGAAAGACCCCGUGAACCUUUACUACAGCUUGACAUUGGACUUUGGGCUAGUAUGUGUAGGAUAGGUGGGAGACUAUGAAAUCUCGACGCCAGUCGGGAGGGAGUCGCCCUUGAAAUACCACCCUUAUUAGUUUAGGGUUCUAACCUGGGCCCGUAAUCCGGGUCGGGGACAGUGUCUGGUGGGUAGUUUGACUGGGGCGGUCGCCUCCUAAAGAGUAACGGAGGCGCGCGAAGGUUCCCUCAGGCUGAUUGGAAACCAGCCGAAGAGUGUAAAGGCAUAAGGGAGCUUGACUGCGAGAGAGACAUCUCGAGCAGGUACGAAAGUAGGUCUUAGUGAUCCGGCGGUUCUGUAUGGAAGGGCCGUCGCUCAACGGAUAAAAGGUACUCCGGGGAUAACAGGCUUAUCGCGUCCAAGAGUUCACAUCGACGACGCGGUUUGGCACCUCGAUGUCGGCUCAUCGCAUCCUGGGGCUGGAGCAGGUCCCAAGGGUUUGGCUGUUCGCCAAUUAAAGCGGUACGUGAGCUGGGUUUAGAACGUCGUGAGACAGUUCGGUCCCUAUCUUCCGUGGGCGUAGGAUACUUGAGAGGAUCUUUCCCUAGUACGAGAGGACCGGGAUGGACGAACCCCUGGUGUUCCAGUUGUCGCGCCAGCGGCACAGCUGGGUAGCUAUGUUCGGAAUGGAUAACCGCUGAAAGCAUCUAAGCGGGAAGCCAACCUCAAGAUUAGGUAUCCCCUCCCCCGAUUCGUCGGGGGGCUGAAGACCCCUUGUAGACUACAAGGUCGAUAGGCCAGGUGUGUAAGUGUGGCAACACAUUUAGCUGACUGGUACUAAUAGGUCGUGAGGCUUGGCC
RNAcentral lists this ribosomal RNA (2070 nucleotides) under sediment metagenome. Its description in RNAcentral is "bacterial LSU rRNA". It matches the Rfam family "Bacterial large subunit ribosomal RNA", at positions 909 to 2925 of the family's 2925-position model. The record is from RNAcentral.